Molecule: transfer RNA, 77 nt
Filed under: Campylobacter jejuni
Lineage: Bacteria; Pseudomonadati; Campylobacterota; Epsilonproteobacteria; Campylobacterales; Campylobacteraceae
Description: tRNA-OTHER
Rfam family: tRNA
About the family: Transfer RNA (tRNA) molecules are approximately 80 nucleotides in length. Their secondary structure includes four short double-helical elements and three loops (D, anti-codon, and T loops). Further hydrogen bonds mediate the characteristic L-shaped molecular structure. tRNAs have two regions of fundamental functional importance: the anti-codon, which is responsible for specific mRNA codon recognition, and the 3' end, to which the tRNAs corresponding amino acid is attached (by aminoacyl-tRNA synthetases). tRNAs cope with the degeneracy of the genetic code in two manners: having more than one tRNA (with a specific anti-codon) for a particular amino acid; and 'wobble' base-pairing, i.e. permitting non-standard base-pairing at the 3rd anti-codon position.
Source: RNAcentral
GCGCUCGUAGCUCAACUGGAUAGAGCGACAGACCUCGGGCCUGUAGGUUAUGGGUUCGAUUCCUAUCGGGCGCACCA